This 468-nucleotide ribosomal RNA is filed under the name uncultured bacterium. Its description in RNAcentral is "partial 16S ribosomal RNA". It matches the Rfam family "Bacterial small subunit ribosomal RNA", at positions 28 to 507 of the family's 1533-position model. The record is from RNAcentral.
GACGAACGCUGGCGGCGUGCUUAACACAUGCAAGUCGAACGGAGAGGCCCUGCUUUUGUGGGGUGCUCGAGUGGCGAACGGGUGAGUAACACGUGAGUAACCUGCCCUUGACUUUGGGAUAACUUCAGGAAACUGGGGCUAAUACCGGAUAGGAGCUCCUGCUGCAUGGUGGGGGUUGGAAAGUUUCGGCGGUUGGGGAUGGACUCGCGGCUUAUCAGCUUGUUGGUGGGGUAGUGGCUUACCAAGGCUUUGACGGGUAGCCGGCCUGAGAGGGUGACCGGCCACAUUGGGACUGAGAUACGGCACAGACUACUACGGGAGGCAGCAGUGGGGAAUAUUGCACAAUGGGCGGAAGCCUGAUGCAGCAACGCCGCGUGCGGGAUGACGGCCUUCGGGUUGUAAACCGCUUUCGCCUGUGACGAAGCGUGAGUGACGGUAAUGGGUAAAGAAGCACCGGCUAACUACGUG